This 89-nucleotide ribosomal RNA is filed under the name Escherichia coli O157:H7 str. K6687. RNAcentral describes it as "partial 16S ribosomal RNA". It matches the Rfam family "Bacterial small subunit ribosomal RNA", at positions 1 to 88 of the family's 1533-position model. Lineage: Bacteria; Pseudomonadati; Pseudomonadota; Gammaproteobacteria; Enterobacterales; Enterobacteriaceae. The record is from RNAcentral.
UUAAAUUGAAGAGUUUGCUCAUGGCUCAGAUUGAACGCUGGCGGCAGGCCUAACACAUGCAAGUCGAACGGUAACAGGAAGAAGCUUGC